CUACCCGCUGAACUUAAGCAUAUCAAUAAGCGGGAGGAA
Molecule: ribosomal RNA, 39 nt
Filed under: Rhizoctonia solani
Lineage: Eukaryota; Fungi; Basidiomycota; Agaricomycetes; Cantharellales; Ceratobasidiaceae
Description: partial 28S ribosomal RNA
Source: RNAcentral